GAUGAACGCUAGCUACAGGCUUAACACAUGCAAGUCGAGGGGAAACGAUGAGAGAGCUUGCUCUCUUAGUCGUCGACCGGCGCACGGGUGAGUAACGCGUAUCCAACCUGCCUCUGACCAAGGAAUAACCCGUCGAAAUUCGGACUAAUACCUUAUGCAGUCGUCGGAAGUCAUCUGAUGACGACGAAAGAUUUCAUCGGUGAGAGAUGGGUAUGCGUCUGAUUAGAUUGUUGGCGGGGUAGCGGCCCACCAAGGCGACGAUCAGUAGGGUAUCGGAUAGGAGAAGAAGGUCCCCUAGAUCGGAACUGAGGCACGGACCAAACUGCUACGGGGCGCAGCAGAAAGGAAUAUUGGGCAAUGAGCGUAAGUGUGAACCAGCCAAGUGGCGUGCAGGAGCACUGCGGUAUGGGUUGUAAACUGCUGUUAUGCGGGGAAAAAGUGAGGGACGUGUCCUUCAUUGCAGGUACCGGAUGAAUAAGGACCGGCUAAUUCCGUG
Molecule: ribosomal RNA, 496 nt
Filed under: uncultured bacterium
Lineage: Bacteria
Description: partial 16S ribosomal RNA
Rfam family: Bacterial small subunit ribosomal RNA
Source: RNAcentral